UAAUAGCCCCGAUUGAAACGGCAUCCUUUUUAUUUUUUUUUGAAAAAAAUAAAAAGAUAUAGUGGAAAGCGGGAAGACAU
Molecule: small RNA, 80 nt
Filed under: Halpernia frigidisoli
Lineage: Bacteria; Pseudomonadati; Bacteroidota; Flavobacteriia; Flavobacteriales; Weeksellaceae
Description: Flavo-1 RNA
Rfam family: Flavo-1 RNA
Source: Rfam by way of RNAcentral